Pogona vitticeps (central bearded dragon) is the source of this 1318-nucleotide non-coding RNA. The record is from RefSeq and is a predicted model, not a curated record. Lineage: Eukaryota; Metazoa; Chordata; Lepidosauria; Squamata; Agamidae.
CUGGGAUGUGCUUUGGAUUGGGACCGGUUUUAUCCCUAGGUGUCGUGAGGCAGCUGCCUCAUGUAGAAGGAUUUGGGUGUCCUGUGAAAAUGCUGCUGCCUAUUUGCAAGGUUAAUGCGGUGGUUUUCUAUAAUAAGACGAUGUGAGAUUUCCAGCUUGGAGCAACAGAGUAAGCCCACUGAGAUGAAAAUUACAGAGAUAAAACGAAUGGAUGCUGCUUUGGGAACAGUUCGAUGCAGUUCAAAGGCUCUUUCCUGACAGACUUCUUCACCCACAACUGAACGUGGUUAACGGCCGCUCAACGAUAUUAUUAAACUGCCCUAAGAGGAGCUUGUUUUCAAGGCUCAGAGACCCUUUUGGGGCCAACGCACAAGGACGGCACACGCUUCCUCGGGAGGUGCAACAGGCAUCCGCCUGUUUAAUCAUCAGCCCUGCACACGCAGCAGGAUCCUAAGCCAUGCUGGAUCCCAUGAACAGAAGUGGGUAUAACUGAGAGGACCACUUCCCAAAAUGGGGCCAUUUUGUCCUGCACAGGUUUAAGGACUGCCUGUGUAGAGGACUUGGGAGAAGUUUUCACUUUGAAUUUGGAGUUUGUUUUUGUGGCUGCAGGGAAACCUUUUUUUUAACAACAACAAUUCUGUGUCAUGCUUAUCAGCUGCCAUUCUUUUAUCGUAAUUUGAAGCUUCUUGUUAUCAUUUUAAAAAGUGUGCCUAGACCAAAACAAAAAAACAAACCCAGACUCCAAACGGUGACUUGAACCAAUAAACACGACUGCUGUUUAAAGAAAAGUGGGAGACAAACAGAUUAAGGAAAACAUUUGAAAGUCAUGUGUACAAACUAGCAGCUUGGAGCUCAGAAUUGAAAGGGAGUCAGAUCUGCCAACCAAGGAAGGCAAGGGGCUGCGUACGACAGAAGGCUCUCUCUCUGGUUGCUGGAAACUGCUUCACCCUAACUAAGUCCUUCUUUAUUCACACAAACCCCCAAUUUUGGGCAAGGGGUGCAACAGCAGAACACUGCUCCCCAAAAUGGCCACACGGCAACCUUGUUGCUGCAAAGGAAGUUUUUGUGAUUCCUGUUGCGAUCAUCUUGUCAGCGACCUCUCGAAAGGGAAACGCCUCACCUGUGUGUGCCACGGCUACCCUACCCGGGAGACAAGCAGAAAAGGGGCAAAGCUACUUGCCAUCUGUUAGGGCAACCACAUUUCCAAACCCUGAAGAAAUCAACACGUGUCCAACACUUGAGAAAUAUGCGUUUUGGAAAACGCGUAUUUGCUUUAUAACUGACAGGAAGAAAGACAGUCGUGGGAGGAAAGGAAGGC